RNAcentral lists this long non-coding RNA (203 nucleotides) under Elaeis guineensis (African oil palm). Its description in RNAcentral is "long non-coding RNA (EGUI_LNC058875)". The record is from RNAcentral. Lineage: Eukaryota; Viridiplantae; Streptophyta; Magnoliopsida; Arecales; Arecaceae.
GGGGGAAAUUCUUCAUUUACUUUGUGAGGGAUACACAAACCUAGAACUCCCAGUUAAAGAGGAGGGAAUAAAUGUUAUUCUAGGGAGAACCUUCACUGGAAGCCUAAACAAAUUAGAGGCUAAGAUUCUUUCCAUUGAGAUGAGGCUGCUACACCAAAUGGUAACUAAGUUAUUCUUCUUUAGAAGUGGUAGACACGAUCUCC